CCUACGGGUGGCAGCAGUGGGGAAUAUUGGACAAUGGGCGAAAGCCUGAUCCAGCCAUGCCGCGUGUGUGAAGAAGGCCUUCGGGUUGUAAAGCACUUUCAGUGGGGAAGAAAGCCUUGGGGCUAAUACCCUCGAGGAAGGACAUCACCCACAGAAGAAGCACCGGCUAACUCCGUGCCAGCAGCCGCGGUAAUACGGAGGGUGCGAGCGUUAAUCGGAAUUACUGGGCGUAAAGCGCGCGUAGGCGGUCUGAUAAGCCGGUUGUGAAAGCCCCGGGCUCAACCUGGGAACGGCAUCCGGAAAUGUGAGGCCAGGGGCCAGGAGAGGAGGGUAGAAAAGCCGGGGUAGCGGUGAGAUGCGGAGAGAGCGGGAGGAAUAGCAGUGGCGAAGGCGGCCUUAAGGACAGACACUGACGCUGAGAGGCGGAAGCGUAGUUAGCACGCAGGAUUAGAGACCCGAAUAGU
Molecule: ribosomal RNA, 464 nt
Filed under: Vreelandella stevensii
Lineage: Bacteria; Pseudomonadati; Pseudomonadota; Gammaproteobacteria; Oceanospirillales; Halomonadaceae
Description: partial 16S ribosomal RNA
Rfam family: Bacterial small subunit ribosomal RNA
Source: RNAcentral